GAGGUGGCCGCCUGGGACUCCCUCCUUCAGGACAUUGCUCUGCUGCCGAUGGAGGUGGCGGAGGACCGGGGCGUCCUGUCCUGGCACCUCGAGCCUUCUGGGCGUUUCUCCACGAAGUCCUUAUACGGUGCCAUUGCACCCUCGUCGGCCCCGGAACCAUUUAGCCUGAUCUGGGAUAUCCGUCUCCCGCUGAAGAUCAGGAUCUUCCUAUGGCAAUGGAUCCGUGGCCGGCUCCCCUCUGGUGUUGAGGUCCUCAAGCGGAAUGGCUCGGGUGAUGGAAUGUGCCCCAUCUGUGGCACCGUUGAGGAUGCUAACCACAUCUUUUUCUCGUGCCACUCUGCCCAGUUCCUUUGGGCCUGCUUCCGCGAAACGGUUGGUGGACAGUGA
Molecule: ribosomal RNA, 387 nt
Filed under: Triticum aestivum (bread wheat)
Lineage: Eukaryota; Viridiplantae; Streptophyta; Magnoliopsida; Poales; Poaceae
Description: partial small subunit ribosomal RNA
Source: RNAcentral